CCAAUAGCGUAUAUUAAAGUUGUUGCGGUUAAAAAGCUCGUAGUUGAAUUUCGGAAUUGAUGCAUCGGUCGUGCCUUAAGGGGCAUGAACUGGUGUAGCCAAUUUCUCAUCUUCUGGUGAAUUGUGAUGUUCUUAAUUGGGUAUCUCAAUGAACUGGAAUUUUUUACUUUGAAAAAAUUAGUGUUUAAAGCAGGCAGUGAUUUGCUUGAAUACAUUAGCA
RNAcentral lists this ribosomal RNA (220 nucleotides) under uncultured Acaulospora. RNAcentral's name for it is "partial small subunit ribosomal RNA". It matches the Rfam family "Eukaryotic small subunit ribosomal RNA", at positions 591 to 809 of the family's 1831-position model. The record is from RNAcentral. Lineage: Eukaryota; Fungi; Glomeromycota; Glomeromycetes; Diversisporales; Acaulosporaceae.